GGUUUGAAAUAUCUCUGUUCUAGAUAGAAAAUGGUUUUGCCUCCUUGUGAAGCCUCUUCCAGGGUUCAAAGGGGCUCCAGGAGAGCUGGAGAGGGGCUGGGGACAGGGAUGGAGGGACAGGACACAGGGAAUGGCUCCACUGCCAGAGGGCAGGGAUGGGUGGGAUGUUGGGAAUUGGGAAUUCCUGGCUGGGCUGCAAUUGCCAGAGCAGCUGUGGCUGCCCCUGGAUCCCUGGGAUGUCCAAGGUUGGACACUGGGGACAGUGGGAGGGGUCCCUGGGCUGGAAUGGGGUGGGAUUUGAGGUCCCUUUCACCCAAACUGCUCCAUAAUUCUGUGUUUCCAUGGUUUCACAUUCAGUGUGCUUUGUGAAAAAAAAAGGGAAAAGGGAAGUUCUCCAAUGCCAUCCUCAUCCUCCCAGACCAGCCUGAGAGAGAACUGCGAAAACCUGGAACAUUAUCCUGUGCUCCCCCCUCCUCUGCUUUGGGAACACCCAGGUAAUUCCUGCAGCCAUCCCAUCAAACCCAGACACUUCUCCCAUCAUCCCAGGGCUUCAGCUGCUGCACAGUUCAGUGUUUGAUGUCCAGUUUAAAAAUCCAUCAGGGACAUUUCAAGGUUGGAUACCCCAGAACUGAAUCAGAGCGGUUUCAAAUUCCAGGGAACUGCCAGUUCCAACUGCCUUUGAUUGCUGAUCCAACAUUUUCACAUCCAUUUUCAGCCCAAAAUGUAAAAUAAAAUAAAAACCAAGAGUAGGAAAUUCGUAUCUCAAUUUGUUCUUCUUAUUCAUGGCCUGCAGUGAAAUCCCAUUUCCUUUUCAGUGCUUUAUUUUGAGAAUGUAAAAGAAGAUAAAUCUACUCCUACAAUCAACAUUAGGAAGAGAAAUCCUGCUUUUCUUAGCAUCUCCUGCACCCCAGAAUAAAACAGGAACAGGCAUGGGAAUACGUGGGAAUUUCCUUUCCCACAAAAACCUGGGAUUUUCAGGACACACAGAUUACUCUGCCCUGAAAAAAAGACAUCUGUGGUCUUUGUCAAUUUAAAUUCUUUAUCAAAUAUUCCAUGCGAGUGAGGGAAAGGAAAAUCCAAAUGGAAGGAGGAAACAUGGAUUUCAGCCUGCAGUUUUAGCUCAGGAUCUAAACAGCAGAGCAGGAUCUCCUGUUCCUUAUCAUCCAAUCCUCUAUCACAGGGGGAGUCAAGGGCACUUCCCAAAUCCCAACUCCCACAGAGUUCCCAUCACACCAGCCCCACCAUUCCUGUGCCUGGAAAACCCAUCUCCAAUGGGCAUCCAAGGUUCAGCUUGGAUUUUUGAGGGAAAUUCGAGGGAAAAGCAGAGAAUUAUUUUAAAGACAAUGGAAUGCUUCCUGGUCUGUGGAAGGCGUCCCUGCCCAUGGGCUUGGAAUGGGAGGAGAUUUAAGGUCCCUUCCAACCAAAACCUUCUGGGAUUCCGUGGAAAUGACUGACAGACAAGCCACUCUGGCUCCCAGCCCUUCCCAAGAGAGUCCUUUGGAGAAUGCUCUUGGAUCACCCCUCAGCUCUGUGCUCUCAGGAACAUCCGUGGGAAGAUGCAGGGCAAGGUUUGGCUCCUGAGUUCCAAAACACACCAACCUCCGAUGGAAAAUCUGCCUGACCUGCUCCUCCAUCCAUCCAUCCAUCCAGUUAAAAUCCAGAGCUUCCAAUGGGAAAUUCAGGGUUUGUGUGUUUAGAGGGUGUCAAACCCCACAGUCCAGCCAGACUCAGAGCUCCCAUUUUCUUCCGAACCCCACAGUUCAUCAGAUUCAGAGUUCCCAUUGUCAUCUAAACCCCACAGUCCAUCCAGGCUUGGAGUUCCCAAUUUAUUCUAAACCCCACAGUCCAUCCAGGCUUGGAGUUCCCAAUUUCAUCUAAACCCCACAGUCCAUCCAGGCUUGGAGUUCCCAGUUUAUUUUAAACCCCACAGUCCAUCCAGGCUUGGAGUUCCCACAGUCUUCCAAACCCCACAGUCCAUCAGACUCAGAAUUCCCACCAUCUUCCAAACCACAGAGUCCAUCCAAAUUUGGAUUUCCCACCAUCUUCCAAACCCCAUGGUCCAUCAGAGUCAGAGCCACUGUUUUCCAAACCCCAUAGUCUGUCCAGAUUUGGAGCUUCCCAUUUUCUUUCAAACCCUGUGGUCCAUCCACACUCAGAACUCCAAAUGUUUUCCAAACCUCAUAGUCCACCCAGAUUUGGAGUUCCCACCAUCUUCCAAACCCCAUGGUCCAUCCAGAUUUGAAUUUGUCACUUCCUUCCAAACUCUAUGGUCCAUCCAGAUUUGAAUUUCUCACUUUCUUCCAAACCCCAUGGUCCAUCCAGAUUUGAAUUUCUCACUUUCUUCCAAACUCCACAGAGUCCAUCCAGAUUUGGAGUUCCCACCAUCUUCCAAAUCCCACAGUCCAUCCAGAUUUGGAGUUCUCACUUUCUUCCAAACAGAGCAAGGUGUUGAUAACCCCAAGGUCAUGGCUUCGAUCCCCGCAGGGACCGUUCAGUUCCGAUUUGGACUCGAUGAUCUUUGCAGGUCCUUUCCAACCUGGAAUAUUCCGUGAUUCCAGGGAUGAGCUUUAAGGUCCCUUCCGACCUAAACCAUCCUGGGAUUCUCUGAAAAUGUCCUGACUUGGAGCUCCCACAGGAACUUAAAGACACCAAAACUGCCAAAAAACCAGGGAGCCAAGAGCAUCCUGGGAACACUCCAGCCCCGAGCAGCACCAGUAUGGACCAGUAUGGACCAGUACAACUCCAGCUGACACCAGCUGAGCAAGGACAGCCCUGCCAGGGCCUCAACAAACACACGCACCACGGGGCUGCCUUACCUGGAAAGAGGCUUUAUUGAACAGAGCUGGAAAAUUAUCUCUUCAGUGGAAUUACUGAAUUUGCACAAACAUUUCUCUACAGAAUAAAAAAAAUCAAGCCUUGUCAUUGUUUUACUGCAUCUCGUUGUGCUUUUUAUACUUAUUUUGCAAUUAUUAUACUCAUCUUUUGUUUGUUUUCACGUUUGUACUCCAAUUAUUUGCAUAUCAGGUUUUGUUUUUAAUCCUAGGGUGUCGAGAGAACACAGAAUAAUAAUAAUAAUUAUAAUAAUUAUAAUAAUAAUACUCUUCUUUAGACAAAAGUCUUUUUUUUUUUUUUUAAAUGAAGUUAAAAGCUGAGCUAAUUUAAGGAAAAAGGUCUUCAAAUUUCAUAACCAACUGGAAGGGAACUUUACAAUGCAGUGGAAAACCAGCACGUGUUGGGGUAGCUCGAACCCAUUUUGUACAGCUUUUAUUUUUUUUUUUCCUUGUAAAAGUGGAUUAUUUUUAAUUUUUUUUUUAUUUUUUGUUUGUUUGUUUUUUUUGAAUUUCGCUACAAUAACAAAAUAAUCUUUCACCCCUCUGCACCGAGUCUGGCUCCGGGGCGGAGGCAGAGCCCCCGCGGGGCGCCCGGAGCUGCGGAUGUCGGGAGCCAUCCCGACAGGGGGGGCAGAGUAAGAAAAUCACCCCGUGUUCCACCACCUGCUGCACCAAGAGUGUGUCUGAACCACCUUUGUUCCUCUGCUUGACCCACUGGAGAACCUGAAACGACGACAACGACGACGACGAGAAGUGCCGCUCCCCGCGGGAGCUGUGUCGAAUGGGGAAGAAGCUGAAAGGCCAUGGCUGUCUGGAAGGUCACACAACACGGAUCUCAUCCCAAAGGCUUUCCACAGCACCUCAGGUCCGCCCAUCCUUCUCCAGAAGCGGCUCCGUCUCCUUGCCUGCACACCCAGGCUCCAGAGUUUGUUUAGAAAAGAGUUUGCACAACCCAUGUUUUCAGCGGUGCAAAGCUUCCGUGUUGAAAUCGUCACUACAUUUGUUUAUUUUUAUAUAUAUAUUUAUAUAUAUAUAUAUAUUCUGUUCUUUUUUUGUUUUUAUUUUUGUUUUUUUUUUUUUUUUUAAAUCAGGCUUGUUUCAUUGAAGGCACUUGGUUUCCAUGGCAAUUUAUAAAAGACGGUGGUUUGGUUUCUUCUCUUCCGCAGAGCUGAUGACUCUGGUGGGGAGGGGAGAGGGAUCUUCCAGCGGCCGCGAGCAAACUCCCGGUGAAGCCUGUGACAAACGUGACACAUCCUGGAUGGGAAUGCAUGCAAGAGGAGACAGCACACAGUCACCAAGCAGAGCCGUGAGGAAUGGAACGGGACAUGGCUGCAAACAGCUCCCAUCCCGGGAUAUCCUCCAGGGGAGGCGCCGACCUUUGCUCAACUCCGCCCUCAAAACCUCCGCGGAGGGAAAACGAGCGCCAGCUCUUCGCUGUGUACAGUGAGGUGUUUCUCUGUCUCUGUGUUUGGAUUUCCUCUCUCUCCUUCCUCUCUGUUUUUGGCAGGCCAUUCGGUUUCCAUGGUAACAAGCAAACAAUUCAUUUGAAACAAAACCAGCCAUGACUUUGUGCUUUGACAAGGGUUUCUAGAGCUCUUUGCCGAGAGUUCAACCAGAUGAUGCUGAAUUCAUCAGUGACCACAAAAGCACCUGAAGGUCUCUUCCUUACUUAGGCCAGAUCUCGGUCUCAAGCUUGGUUCUUAGUGAGUUCCACUCCCGUGAUGCCUUUUCAAGUCCCCAGUGCUUUCUUAAUCCGUUCUUAUUUUAUUUUUAAUUAUUUAUUAUUUAUUUACGUAUUUAUUUAACUUUCGAGUCAGUCAGUCAGUGGAGGAAUCUUUGGUAGCUUGUUUGGAAAUGUCCAUUUUACAAAGACUCUUUCUUCAUGCCAGUGCCUGGUGAUUCUUUUG
Molecule: long non-coding RNA, 4738 nt
Filed under: Catharus ustulatus (Swainson's thrush)
Lineage: Eukaryota; Metazoa; Chordata; Aves; Passeriformes; Turdidae
Description: lncRNA (ENSCUSG00005015890.1)
Source: RNAcentral